RNAcentral lists this ribosomal RNA (253 nucleotides) under uncultured bacterium. Its description in RNAcentral is "partial 16S ribosomal RNA". It matches the Rfam family "Bacterial small subunit ribosomal RNA", at positions 524 to 776 of the family's 1533-position model. The record is from RNAcentral.
UACGGAGGGUGCAAGCGUUAUCCGGAUUCACUGGGUUUAAAGGGAGCGUAGGUGGGUUGGUAAGUCAGUGGUGAAAUCCCCGAGCUUAACUUGGGAACUGCCAUUGAUACUAUCAGUCUUGAAUAUUGUGGAGGUCAGCGGAAUAUGUCAUGUAGCGGUGAAAUGCUUAGAUAUGACAUAGAACACCAAUUGCGAAGGCAGCUGGCUACGCAUAUAUUGACACUGAGGCUCGAAAGCGUGGGGAUCAAACAGG